Molecule: ribosomal RNA, 720 nt
Filed under: Nephroma resupinatum
Lineage: Eukaryota; Fungi; Ascomycota; Lecanoromycetes; Peltigerales; Nephromataceae
Description: eukaryotic LSU rRNA
Rfam family: Eukaryotic large subunit ribosomal RNA
Source: RNAcentral
GCGAGUGUUUGGGUGUCAAACCCGGGCGCGGAAUGAAAGUGAAUGGAGGUGGGAGCCCGUCAAACGGCGCACCAUCGACCGAUCCAGAUGUCUUCGGAUGGAUUUGAGUACGAGCAUAGCUGUUGGGACCCGAAAGAUGGUGAACUAUGCCUGAAUAGGGUGAAGCCAGAGGAAACUCUGGUGGAGGCUCGCAGCGGUUCUGACGUGCAAAUCGAUCGUCGAAUUUGGGCAUAGGGGCGAAAGACUAAUCGAACCAUCUAGUAGCUGGUUCCUGUCGAAGUUUCCCUCAGGAUAGCAGUAACGUUUUCAGUUUUAUGAGGUAAAGCGAAUGAUUAGAGGUCUUGGGGCUGAAACAGCCUUAACCUAUUCUCAAACUUUAAAUAUGUAAGAAGUCCUUGUUACUUAGUUGAACGUGGACAUUUGAAUGUACCGUUACUAGUGGGCCAUUUUUGGUAAGCAGAACUGGCGAUGCGGGAUGAACCGAACGCGAGGUUAAGGUGCCGGAAUGCACGCUCAUCAGACACCACAAAAAGUGUCAAUUCAUCCAGACAGCCGGACGGUGGCCAUGGAAGUCGGAAACCGCUAAGGAGUGUGUAACAACUCACCGGCCGAAUGAAUUGGCCUUGAAAAUGGAUGGCGCUCAAGCGUGCUACCCAUACCUCGCCGCCAGGGUAGAAACGAUGCCCUGGCGAGUAGGCAGGCGUGGAGGUCCGUGACGAA